AUGAAGGUUUCGAUAAAACCUCUCAAAUUUGCUGAUGCAGAUGGAACAAUGGAGCAAGUGCUCCAAAUACAUAUUCUGGGGAAAAAAUGGAGAAAAUGCUCAAUUCAAGGAUAUUCUCGAUUAAUGCAUAGCUUCAGAGAGGGUGUUCUCUCACCUGCAGCUCUUUCUGCUGCUGCUUCUCCGCCUGGCUCAGCAGGAAGCCUUCGGCCAGGGCCACCGCCUGGGCGCUGGUCUCCGCUCCACACUCCCGCACCCAGCUGGCCAUCUCUGCAGGAAGCACGGCCAGCAGCUGCUCCAGGAUCACCAGGUCCAGCAUCUGUGCCUUGGUCUUCUUCUCUGGCUGCAGCCAAUCCUGGCAGAGCUGAUAAAGGCGGUUGCACAUCUCCCGCGGGCUCUUGCCCCAUAUAUCCAAGGGCAGGAGGCCGACUUUCUCCCUGGUGGUUUCCCGCAAGGCGUCCCGCAGCUGCUCCACCUUCUCCCAGAGGGCUUCCUUCAGGGAGGAGUUCUGCAGGGCGCUCCUCAGGGAGUCCACCUGGGCCAGCAGCACCUCCGCCUGCGUCAGCGUGUCUGACCAGAAGGCCAGCGCCUGCGUCUCCAGGGCCGCUGCUUUCUCCCACAGGACAUGCGCCUCCUUCACAGGCGCAUCCUGGGCAACUCUUUGCAGGGCUGCCUCCCCCUGCCCCAGGGGCACCUGCCGGAGGGUCCAGCGAAAGGCUUCGGCUUCUCUCCGGGCCGUCUCAGCCUCCUCCAGAGGGCCUGCCCACAAGCCCUUCUCCAGGCAGGCCACCUCCCAGCAGUCCGUCUUCCGCAGCAGUGCCUCGGCCUUUUCUAACAUCGGCUGCAGCCCUUCAAGCGACGCCUCCCGCAGGCCGGUGCGCAGCCCCUCCAGCUCCCUCCGCAGCGCCUCGGCGCUCUCGGCCCAGCCUUCUUCCUCCAGGGCCUCCCGCAGGGCCAGCAGCUGCCGGGCCCGGAUGCGCCCUUCCUUCCGCACCGCCCAGCCCAACUCCCGCAGGUUCUCCCACAACCGGUCGUCCAGGAACGCCGCCAGGGCCCCUUCCAGCUUCCGCGCGGCGCGCACUGGCCGCCCCCGGCCCUCCGCCGCCUCCAGCUCCGCCGUCACGCCCAGGAGCGCCUCCCGCAGAGCCGCCACCUUUUCCACCGAAGUGGUGGGCGCGGCUGCUGGCUCGGCCGGCACCCAGGGCUCUUUGUCCUCGCUCGGCGCCUCCUCCUCCUCCUUGGCCAGGGCCGGCGGCGCCGCGGAUCCCUCGCCUCCCGCGGCAGACGCUGCCACUCCACUCGUACCGCCGCCGGGCUUUCUCCGCCGGGCCCGCCGGGCCGCCUCGCGCUCGCCGCGCGCCUGGAACCAGCGGAGCAGCGCCAUCUCCAGCCUCAGGAAGCCCUGGAGCCGCUGCUGUUCCGUCUCCGAGAGCGCCGCGUCCCGGGCCAGCAGGGCGUCCCUGCCUCGGCGGGCUUCGCUCAGCUGCGCCCGGAACCGCUGAAGAUUCGGCUGGCCCAGGUUGA
Molecule: long non-coding RNA, 1521 nt
Filed under: Laticauda laticaudata (blue-ringed sea krait)
Lineage: Eukaryota; Metazoa; Chordata; Lepidosauria; Squamata; Elapidae
Description: lncRNA (ENSLLTG00000002262.1)
Source: RNAcentral